RNAcentral lists this ribosomal RNA (460 nucleotides) under uncultured bacterium. RNAcentral describes it as "partial 16S ribosomal RNA". It matches the Rfam family "Bacterial small subunit ribosomal RNA", at positions 338 to 795 of the family's 1533-position model. The record is from RNAcentral.
CCUACGGGAGGCAGCAGUGAGGAAUAUUGGUCAAUGGGCGUAAGCCUGAACCAGCCAAGUCGCGUGAGGGAUGAAGGUUCUAUGGAUCGUAAACCUCUUUUAUAAGGGAAUAAAGUGUGGGACGUGUCCUAUUUUGUAUGUACCUUAUGAAUAAGGAUCGGCUAACUCCGUGCCAGCAGCCGCGGUAAUACGGAGGGUCCGAGCGUUAUCCGGAUUUAUUGGGUGUAAAGGGUGCGUAGGCGGCCUUUUAAGUCAGCGGUGAAAGUCUGUGGCUCAACCCUAGAAUUGCCGUUGAAACUGGGGGGCUUGAGUGUGUUUGAGGCAGGCGGAAUGCGUGGUGUAGCGGUGAAAUGCAUAGAUAUCACGCAGAACUCCGAUUGCGAAGGCAGCAUACCGGCGCCCGACUGACGCUGAGGCACGAAAGCGUGGGUAUCGAACAGGAUUAGAUACCCUGGUAGUC